UCUUCGGAGAGUUUGAUCCUGGCUCAGGAUGAACGCUGGCGGCGUGCCUAAUACAUGCAAGUCGAGCGAACUGAUUAGAAGCUUGCUUCUAUGACGUUAGCGGCGGACGGGUGAGUAACACGUGG
RNAcentral lists this ribosomal RNA (125 nucleotides) under Priestia megaterium. Its description in RNAcentral is "partial 16S ribosomal RNA". It matches the Rfam family "Bacterial small subunit ribosomal RNA", at positions 1 to 120 of the family's 1533-position model. Lineage: Bacteria; Bacillati; Bacillota; Bacilli; Caryophanales; Bacillaceae. RNAcentral also lists the same sequence under 1 other name. The record is from RNAcentral.